This 129-nucleotide unclassified non-coding RNA is filed under the name Monosporozyma unispora. RNAcentral's name for it is "Kazachstania unispora partial 35S ribosomal cistron external transcribed spacer". The record is from RNAcentral. Lineage: Eukaryota; Fungi; Ascomycota; Saccharomycetes; Saccharomycetales; Saccharomycetaceae.
AUGCGAAAGCAGUUGAAAAUGAAUUCGAAAGAGUUUGGAAACAGACUUGAUUAGAAUUUGUUGUUCGUAAAAUCGUGGACGAUUGAGUAAUCGUUAAUUGUUUAUUUUUUACAUGGCCUUGUCAAGCGG